RNAcentral lists this long non-coding RNA (1797 nucleotides) under Homo sapiens (human). RNAcentral's name for it is "HSALNT0371215". Lineage: Eukaryota; Metazoa; Chordata; Mammalia; Primates; Hominidae. The record is from RNAcentral.
GCCAUUUACAAAUGGUGCACAAAACCCGCAGAGAUCAUCAACUUAGGGCACCAAGAUUUACACUUUAAUCAUCAGCAAUUUAUCUUACUGAUAACUCAAUCAACUUGGAUAUUUCUCACCAUUGACUUAAGAAAGCAGAGCAGACACUGUGCUGGGGACUUUGAGCAAUGCAGAGGAAUGGAGAAUGCCCCCCAAGAACUUAGAAGAGAUGGACAUUUGCAUUAUUCUCUGUAAUGACUGCACAGUGUGAGUCCAGCCUACAAAAGGCCACCGAGUUGAUUGAUUCGGAAGUUCAGUGAUAUUAAGGCUCUUUCCUUUUCUCUGGUCUACCAUCCUGGGCAUUUCCUUCAACCUCAAGUAGGUAGCAGGACUGUUGUAGUGGUAUCAGGUAUUACAUCUAGACAUGGAACAAGAGAAGUUAUUUCUUUCCUAUAACUUUCUAUGGAACUAAUUUUUUUUUCACUAAGUACUUCCCAGAAGAAAAACUUCCUUCUUUUUGGAAAAUACUAAGUCAUCUAUCCAUGUAUGAACCAAUCAAUGCCAAGGAGAUGGAUUACCAUCACACCCAUCCAUGAAGAUAACCCCAAGGCUCAUGGUUCUGUGCAAAAGGAGUAGAUAUCUGAACAAGAUUUUGACUCUAUUGGGAGCAAAAGAGGAUGAUGGUUGCUGGGAAGGUUACCAACAAAGAUCACUACACUGGCCCAACUUACUGUUGACACAGUAAAGUGUCCCGCACUUGUAUGCUAGGAUUAUUAUCACAGAUUUGGCUUCUGACACACUCAUUGCUUUGGAGAGGAUGGUUAAGUCAGAAAAAAGACUUUUGAGACUCAAAAUUCUGGACCCCGAUUCUGCUUGGAGCCAAGAUAAAGUUGUGUUUGCUCCAGGUUAUCGGCAUUGUGCCUGCACUGAAUAAAAACAAGCAGCUCCAACUUCUCAGGGCUGCUCUCUGGCCACUAGAGCCAGGCAGUCACCUAGCUGCUGUUAUGCUGCAUACCUGUCUCUGAGUACUCGCUUCAUCCAUCGGCCAGGGUCUGUGGGACAGACCAGGCAGGUGGUGCCCCAUGUGAGGAACGCUGCAAUGGAUUGCAAGGGAACCCCUGAAAACAAAUGUGAAGUGACUGAGCAGUGUUAACCUUAGAAGACUAGAACCUAAUGAGUUAUGGCAAACAGAUGUUAUGCACGUCCCUGAAUUUGGAAAACUAAGGUCCUCUUUGGAUUCCAGCACGAGGCAUCAAACCAUACCAUGGCAUGGCUAGGACCCAACCCGGUACCAAAAUGAAGAAAAUGACCCUACAGGACCCACAAUCCCGGAUGAUGUGGCUUCCUUGGAUGACACAGGCCCUGGACAUUACCUGGGGGAUGCUGAAGAAGACAACUCAGGAGGCCAAGCAAAUCCUGCUCCAGGCACAGACACCAUUCACUCCAGGAAGCUGCCAUUCAUUCGACAUAAGUAGGUGCUUCAUCUGAUAAGCGCUGCUUGUGUAAUUUAUCAAUGACAGAGAAGGCAGAUAGCAGCAUGCAUACUUGGGGCUGCAUUUGAAGGAGAGCAACAUCCCUUUGUUUUCACAGAGGAGAACAAGCAUGAGUUGAGAUUGUGGUGCUUCUUGAAGUCUCAUCCAGAUCAGAAACCUGCUGCUCUGUCCACAUUCCAUCCACCAAAGCAACCCAUAUGGCCAUGUCCAGCAUCAGAUGGGGAAAGGCAGUUCUCCUCUAGCACGAGGAGCUGCAAAGCCACAUGGCAAAGGAUGAGUGUGUAAAAAAUAAAUGCAGGAGGGCAGGAGGCAUUGGGAACAAUGA